Molecule: ribosomal RNA, 253 nt
Filed under: uncultured bacterium
Lineage: Bacteria
Description: partial 16S ribosomal RNA
Rfam family: Bacterial small subunit ribosomal RNA
Source: RNAcentral
UACGUAGGGUGCAGGCGUUAAUCGGAAUUACUGGGCGUAAAGCGUGCGCAGGCGGUUCGCUAAGACAGAUGUGAAAUCCCCGGGCUUAACCUGGGAACUGCAUUUGUGACUGGCGGGCUAGAGUAUGGCAGAGGGGGGUAGAAUUCCACGUGUAGCAGUGAAAUGCGUAGAGAUGUGGAGGAAUACCGAUGGCGAAGGCAGCCCCCUGGGCCAAUACUGACGCUCAUGCACGAAAGCGUGGGGAGCAAACAGG